This 3166-nucleotide long non-coding RNA is filed under the name Helianthus annuus (common sunflower). RNAcentral's name for it is "hypothetical non coding rna". Lineage: Eukaryota; Viridiplantae; Streptophyta; Magnoliopsida; Asterales; Asteraceae. The record is from RNAcentral.
GGUGUGUGCGUGGAGAUCGACCAGGAGGUGCUCCUAUGGAGCUCAAACCCUAAACUCAACAAAUCAUCAAAUUGAAGCUUGAUUCAAGGCUAAAAUCGAUGCAUGAAUACAUAGAAACGAUCACCUAGUCGUGGGGAUCAUAAGGUAUGUCAUAAAACCUAGAUUGGUUAAAGUUGAAAAUUUAGACAAUUAGGGUACUUGCAAAUAGAUGGUUGGGUUAUGAUCCAAAGUCGAAAUUGAAUGUCUAUGUAUGUUUAAUUUCGUUAGUUAGGAUGAUAUUAUGAAAAACUUGAUGUAAUAUUACUUGAAGAUGAUUAACAAGUAAACUAGAAAGUGGGUUUUGACUAAAUAGUGAAGGUGAUGAUAUGUUUGUGCUAGAAAUCAUCAUAAAUGAUAGUUGGAGUAAGACACUUGAACAAAUUGCAAGAUUGAGUAUUUGAUCAUACAUGAUAGAGGAUGAAUAGUUAUGAACUAGUUGGUAAAGGUGUAAAAUUAUGCCCAUUAGGUGUUUGUUAAAAUGCCAAAACGAAAGCUAAAUUGUUGAAAUUUCGAGUGAAAUGCACAUUUGAAUAAUAUGGCAAAUUAUGCGAAAUAUGAAACGAUAAGAGUUCUAAAUAUCAAAUUGAUUUAGACUUAAUUGUGUAAACCAUGUGAUCGAAAGUAGUUAACUUUUGAUAAGUUAAGUUAACUAAUUAUGAAGUCGAAUAGUAGUUCGACAUAGAAAAUAAAUAAGGUGGAAUAGCCACGAUUUUUAUGACUGAUCUAACCGCCUCGUAGAUGUUUACAAUAGUUUGACGCUUAACGAGCUAGGUGGAGGCUUGGGAAAGAAGCGGUCAAACGAAUCAAGUACGAGAAGAAAUGCGUAAACCGGAUGAGAGGUAAGUAAAGCUUACGCCCCUUUUUAUUUACAAAAUACUCAUUUGCGAAUAUUGCAUAUGAACAAGGUGAUUUAAGUAAUUGAAGUAUGAUGUUCCGCGCAAAAUAUUACGGGUCGGAACAAAGGAAAAUGGUAAGAAGCCAUAAAUUAUGCAAAAAGGGUAAAACGGUAAAUAGUCAUGUUUGGGUAAUAAUGGUAAAAUAGAAAUCCGGACACGAGUUGACUGUUAGAUAAAAAGCUUUGAAAAGACACCAUAUGGCGUAAAUCAUAACAGGUCAAAUGGUAACGUUAACACCAUUUGGCAAGUAACGACUAAUAAGUGCUUGUCGAGUAUGACGCUCACAGGGUAAAACGGCAUAUGGGAUUUCGCAUUUGCUAUGUAUUAGCAAAUUAUUGAGGCAAGGUAUUAAUCGGGUCUAUAUUUUGACUCGAGCCAGGUACGCAUAGCUAAGAUUAUAGUUAAACACACUAUUUGGUUAAAUAUUUAGCGAAAGUCCUUUGUCAUAAGAUGAUGGACUAAAGUUGACCAAAACGCCCUUGAUUAACAAACCGGGCAAACGACCUCUAAAGGUUAUUUAGUAUUAACCUAAGUAAGUCUUUGGUAAAUGCAUGUGUUAAUUUCAUAAUCCUUUUGGGUCAAACGCCCAAAAAUGGACCUUUCUGUAAAAGUUGACUAACCGAAGGGUAGACUUCGGAAUAGUUAGAUUACGAUAGUAAAUCCAACACAAAUGUAGUUGCGGUGGAAGGCAAAUAGACAUCCUAAUGUGGGAAUAAGAUGCUAAAAUAAAUGUGACAACCGGUAAUUAACGUCUUCUAGUUACGUGAUUAACAAACGUUUAUACGAUAAUAAAUAGGGUUUAAGACACGAAUUAACUUAAUGAGGCUCUUAGUAUGCCUAGGAACGCUUAUCGGAUGUUACAGUGCGCGCAUGAGGAUUUUCGGGAAAUCUGAUGAGUGUUAAAUGAUAACGAACUGACACCGUACAAAAUACUGACAACGCCGACAAAUACGAAGUUUAUACGUAUAACUUAUAUUUAUGAAUGUGGUUUUGUGAAAACAUCACCAAAACGCCCUUGUGUAACACCUCGAAAAAUUUCGUCCAAUAAUGUCUUGACACGUGUCAUAAGGUUCCGUUAUGUGAAAACAUACUUUAAAGGGACUAAAAGUGACAAACCGUGAAAACUAUGGAACGUAAGGGUCCAAAGUGUCGACAAUGGAGAAAUAGGCUCUAUGAUAACCCCACAUAAUGUUUAUAACCUUUAACGGAUGGUUCAUGGAUCAUACGACGCGGAAAUUGCCUAAAAGUGAAGUAUUGUAAACUAUAGGGGCCAAAAGUGUCAACAUGUUUAAUUUAUACCUCUGAGUGAACUUUUGGCAGACCCGAAGCUUUGUAUAGCUAAAAUAUACUCACUAGAAUAUGUGGUUAAAAUUUCAUGAAGUUUCGUCAGCGUAUGAGAAAGUUAUGGCCAAAACCGUACUUAAGGGACUAGAAGCGUCAACGUCGAAUUCAGGGCUUUUCGGUUGAGCGCAAAGUUAUCCGAGAGCAUUACCAUGUAGGUAAAAGUCCUAAGGUUCUUAAAAACCAAGUUUGGGGGUUUACGGGUCGAGAAAAGUAGCCGAAACAUCACGUACAAGCACAGGGACCAUUUCUGCCAAAUUGGAAACAAGUUUGGCUGAUCAGAAGGGUCAGGCGACCCGCCUGGACAUGCCCAGGCGGGCCGCGUGGGACUGCCAGCGACCAGAAAUUCGUUUUGGGUUGAUUUGGGUCCGAAUUUGAGUUGAAAACAGUUGUCUCUUGCCUCCUUUUGCACCAAUAGCAACCCUUGCAUGCCUACACCAACAGUACACCUCAAGAAUCAGCUUUAAAUCAGUUCUUGCAACCAUUUUUGAUCAUUUUCAAUUGGGAACAAGAACACAUUCUCACAAGAGCUCUCAAGAACUCUCAAGGCAAGCCUUCUGGAGGAAUUCUGAUCAACAAGGCCGACUCCUAGUGACCAUUUAACAUCUAUAGGACUCUUUUAAACCUUCUGGAAUUCUCGUUGAUUGAGUCUAUGCUUAGCCUGAAGCCCGGUAAAAGCUAUCACCACUUAUCGUUUGUGACUUAUACUUGCUCAGGUACUAUACGGAAAUAGGCUGGCUGUUUCCUAGAGAGCGUCCACAAUAGUCUCGCAAACUCGGACGACAUUUAUCUGUUGAACUAUUAUUUUAUCUUAUUUUAUUGAUCCGCCUGUGGAUCCAUUUCAACUACUGUGAUAUUUAUUAUUACGCUUUAUUUAAAAGUUGAAAUGU